Long non-coding RNA from Gallus gallus (chicken), 3296 nucleotides. RefSeq lists it as uncharacterized. NCBI's taxonomy places the organism in Eukaryota, Metazoa, Chordata, Aves, Galliformes, Phasianidae. The transcript is spliced from 3 exons. The record is from RefSeq and is a predicted model, not a curated record.
GAAGGGAAGCCCACGGGUGCUUCUGAGAGAUGCUGCUUUUCAAAUGGCACAGCCAUCAACCUACAAACCGUUGAACAACUUAAAAAUCUCUUUUAGUUUUAAAUGCAGGAGCUGGCAGAAAAUAGAGCCAGUGGUUUCGCGAUGAGAACAAAGAGAGGCAAAGGGGCUCUUCAGUGCUGCGCACCCCUACAACCGCACGGCCUUUAUUAAGGAAUGGAGAACCAAAAGAAGCUGACCCCGUGGAAAUAAGGGCAGUGAAUCUGCUGACAACAGCUCCAAGGGAACAAAUGCAACAUGCCGACCUCGUACCGGCAUGGCUCCCACACUGCGUGACAGGGCUUUGCAUGUGCGUGUGUGAAGAUGCGUGGAUAUAUAUGUGGAUGGAAGCAGCAACACAGUGAGCUGUCUUUGCUGGGAACCUUUUUAAAGGGGAAGAACAUAACUGAGAGAGAAUAUUAUCAGCGGCAUUUAUUUGUUGUUAUUUGCAGCCUUACACAAAUACUGCAGUGAGGAGGAAAGUGUUUCAUACUUUCAACCCACAGGCAAAACACGGAAACACAUAAAAUAUUUGUCAGUGUUAACAGCCAGAGAAUGAGUCCAUAGAUGUGCUGUGGGAAGAAGCUCGAGCCUUUCUGCUGACGUUUUUGUUUGGUUUUGGUGGGAUUUUUUUGGUUAAAAAUGAAUAAAUGAGCUCUUUUAAAAUGACAUUUGAUUUUAUGUGUGCUGCUGUGUGCUUUCUGUUCCAUUUUCCUAUUUCCAUUUAGAUAUUUAGUACAAACCAAGGACUGCUUUGCCUCUUCAAACGGGUGAGAAUUUGACAACAGUUCUGAACUAAGUCACGUCAGAUGUGCCUUGAAGUGAAAUGGAACCUUUCCUCUACUUUCAAGAGAAGCAAAGUCAAACUGCAGAACCCUACAGGCAAAAUACCAUGGCUGAUUGUGUGAGAUGGAUGUCCCAAAGCUCCAGCUAUGCUGUCAGUCUGCACUAGCAACAGAGCUGUGCUACCCAAGAGGAGAGGUUCUGCAGAAUAGAGGCCCCUGGAAGAUCUGCUCCGAGAUACAGCUGGAACAGCUGACCCAUACAGCUACCAAGGGAGCAAAAAGGACACGGGAUCUGUCUGCUGAUUCCCCUCCCACUGUGCAUGCGUGGAUCUGCAAAGUAUGAUUGGGUGGAAGAGAAUGAAGUCUGGUAAGGAUGCGACUAGUAAAAUGAAAUGUCAAAUACUGUGUGAUCAUAUUAAUUUGUAUAAAAGAAAUGGCCAAGUUGGUUUUUUUUUAUUUUAUUCCUCCAAUAGAGGUCUACAGGAAUAGAAAGAAGAAGACUAGUAUUUAUGUGGCACUGUUACAAGGUGCCAGUGUUCAUAAACUUGAGUCGUGGCGUUCAGAUGAACACACACCUGAUUUCACUGGUGAAUUAUUAUUUAUUUUAUUUGUUUUUUUUGCAGCUCCCCCUACUUUCAGAGCUGGCUUAGCAGCUUAAAGGACCCAAAUGAAAAAUAUGUGGAUAAUACCACAAAUAAGUUAGUCUGAAUUUAUCUCUUCAAGGGAAAAUGAAUACUUAGUUACCUGGUAAUGCUAGUGAAUAAAAAUAGGAGCACUCAUAAAAUGUAACAUCCUAAAAAGAUGAACAUACUUUUCCCUGGAUUUAAAAGUAAGUUUCGUUUUCAUAAGUAGAGAAAAAUCUGAUUUGUGACUAAUCAUACAGAUACUUACCCUGCUUCAUCCUGUGAAGGUUUGAACUUGCACCAAAGUUGUAGUCUUUCUGCUGUGCUUUUGCAAACUUUCAAAAACAAGCAUUAAUAGUGAUCUGGAUCAGCACACCAGGUUAAGUAAGUGAAGAACAUUCAACUACUCUACUACAAAAAGCAGUACACCUUGCAGUUCACUGCAAACUAUGUUAAGGAAUACAAAACCCCUGAGUAGUACUGUAUGUACCUGGGUGACUACUAUGGGCAAAACAUCUACAGAAGAUUUUAUAUAUAUACUGGCAGAAAACUUCAUUACAAUACUGAAAUAUCCUAGAUAUAGUCUCUGGACACUGCCUCAGGAUCAUAACAUGGAGUGAAGACUACCUUAUAAAAUGUAUUUCAGGCAUCAGCUUGGAUGUGGAUCAGACUGCGUAAAUUAUAGACCUGAAAAGACUGUCAUCUGAACCACUUAACUAGAAAUUGUUCUUUCUGGACUUUCCAUAUAAGGCAGCAAAGAAAAGGAGAUUCCACAGAAAUUAAUUCAGAUAAAAUAACUAUAAUUUCUAACUGCUUUGGAUACUUCUUUUCUACUCUAAAUGAAUGAUGUAAACACUCUUUUAGUAGGUAAUGCAAAAAAUGUUUAUAAAAAGUUACCUCUUCCAAUUCAAAAAGCUGAUUCUGUUUCCAGAUCGAUUCUUUCACAGGCUCAUCUCUACGGAAUGCAGACAGAGCUCUCUGGUAAGUGAUUUUUCCCAUGCUUUUACUUGCUUUCUAAAUUACUUCUGACACACACACACACAUAUAUAUAUUUGCCAGUAAUUGGGAAAUGUUUUCCCCUACUGAAAUACUGGAAAUUAUUUCUGAACUUGAGAUUUAGCAACAAGAAUCUAGUAUGAGGUGACUGUAGAUAUGUGACAAAACCACCUUAAUGUAAAAUGUGGGACGCUCACAUAUGCCAAGUUUGGUGCAGGCAAUGGAAGGGGACGGUAUUUUCGCAGUCAAAUCAGAGCAACAGCUUUACUGCAUGGACUCAGAACUAUCCUAUCAAAGAAUCUUUCUCUCUAGUUAUUACAAACAGGUGUACAAUGGUACAACAAAUAGCUUACAUACACAUAAGUUUAUUCACAUUAGUCAUUAUUAUUUUCACUGGGAUAACUUGGGUCUUUGUUAACAUUGUUCAGAAUUUUUGCCACCUUGUCCUCUUAGACAGGAUUUCUCCAGUUCAGAAAGGUCUCUGCAGUUAUCACUAAUUAAUAGAUGGACAAUUUUUAUUGCACUCACCUUUUAUUUCUUGAAUGGUUCUGCAUGUUCUCCUUUAAAUUAAUCUGCUGAUCACGAUAAUUAGCAUAUUUUUCUAAAAUCAAAAGUGAACCUUGAUUUAAGUGCAAGAGCAUAAAUAUAGUUUGAAAAUAACUUGUUCUAUCAACUUCUAAAAGUAACUUUAAUAACUGGAUUUAAAAUUGAAUUGCUGCAAUGCAAAGAUUGAUAACAUGCUUUGAGUCAGGGCAAACACACAUCUGUUUAUAAAAAAUAUGUAGCAUAAGAUGACUGAAAGAAGAAUAAAACAUAGAAUAUACGUCCCUAACUUACUGACACUCACCGCUUUUUU